This 468-nucleotide ribosomal RNA is filed under the name uncultured bacterium. RNAcentral describes it as "partial 16S ribosomal RNA". It matches the Rfam family "Bacterial small subunit ribosomal RNA", at positions 28 to 507 of the family's 1533-position model. The record is from RNAcentral.
GACGAACGCUGGCGGCGUGCUUAACACAUGCAAGUCGAACGGAAAGACCCUGCUUUUGUGGGGUGCUCGAGUGGCGAACGGGUGAGUAACACGUGAGUAACCUGCCCUUGACUUUGGGAUAACUUCAGGAAACUGGGGCUAAUACCGGAUAGGAGCUCCUGCUGCAUGGUGGGGGUUGGAAAGUUUCGGCGGUUGGGGAUGGACUCGCGGCUUAUCAGCUUGUUGGUGGGGUAGUGGCUUACCAAGGCUUUGACGGGUAGCCGGCCUGAGAGGGUGACCGGCCACAUUGGGACUGAGAUACGGCCCAGAGUCCUACGGGAGGCAGCAGUGGGGAAUAUUGCACAAUGGGCGGAAGCCUGAUGCAGCAACGCCGCGUGCGGGAUGACGGCCUUCGGGUUGUAAACCGCUUUCGCCUGUGACGAAGAGUGAGUGACGGUAAUGGGUAAAGAAGCACCGGCUAACUACGUG